Ailuropoda melanoleuca (giant panda) is the source of this 76-nucleotide non-coding RNA. NCBI's taxonomy places the organism in Eukaryota, Metazoa, Chordata, Mammalia, Carnivora, Ursidae. The record is from Rfam.
GGCCUCACAUGAUGGAGAAAUGACUUUGGGAGGACAGUGACCAAAUUGGGUCGUAUUCGUACUGUCUGAUGGGGUC